Molecule: long non-coding RNA, 1503 nt
Organism: Oxyura jamaicensis (ruddy duck)
Lineage: Eukaryota; Metazoa; Chordata; Aves; Anseriformes; Anatidae
Exons: 3
Source: RefSeq, a predicted model, not a curated record
CAUGAAGGAAUAAGGGAGAGAGGGGCACCUGUCAGCACGUGAUGCUCAACACCUUUCCACAGACUGAGCAUGUUGACAAUCACUGCAAUCCGUAUGCCUUUCACAGUCAUAGAAGAUUUGAUAUAUGAAGUAUUGGAUAGAAAUGCUGGGGACUGUCAUAUCAUCCCAGACCAUUCAGCAAGACCUCAAGAUUGUGGAGGAAUGGGCUAACAUGAGCUAACGGGAACCUAACAAAGUUUUACAAAGGCCUUUACAAAGACCUGUAAAGAACCAAGAGGUCACAUUUCCUGGCGCAGUAACCCUACACAGCAGCACAGGCUGGAGAGCAGUGUGGUGGAAAAAGGGGGACCUGCUGGACAAGAAGUUGAACACAAGACAGCAAUGAGAAAAUGUUGAGAGAUCUGGGUUUGUUUAUCCUUCAGAAGCAAAAGCUCAAGUGGACCUAAUGGCUGUCUUCAGCUACCUGUUUUGGCACAGAGAUAAGUUAGAAACAUAUUCUUCUUGGAGGUACACUGUGAAAGGAAAAUAGGUAAUGGUCACAGGAAGCUCUGCUACAUGCCCUUUUCAAAGUAUUUGGUGGCAUUAUCCAAAGAAAAAGGAUGUUUUGCAUCAGCUGCCAAAGCCCCAGGAAGCCAUCCUUCAAGGGCAAGAUGAACUCAUUCCCUUAGGCACAAUGGAGUCUGAAGUCAUGCUUGAACAUUCACUUUCUCUCUCCCUGGUAAGCAAGGCUGAGAAGUCAGCAACCAUGAGCUCAGAUACGGAAACAACUGGCCAAGCAAAAUAAUGUCCUUCAGCUCCUGGAUGAAGUGAAGGAAGGUAAAGGUGUUUAGGGAAUGUAGCAGAUAUAUUUCUGCUCACCUGGCCCUACUAUCCAGAUUAACUGGAGGAGGGUAGUGGAAAGGAGCUCAAAGUACCAGCUGGGUGAACACUAUCUCAUUACAUUGGCCAAGAUGAAUGUUAUAGUUGGGGCAAUAUUUUCAAGGGGUUUGGGAAGAGAUAAAAAUAAGUAAGAGAGAGCCCUUUCCUCCAGUCAAACUGGGAGGUUGGCAACCUCAUAUUUGAUUAGUCUGUUCUCACACAGCACCAGCAGAGGAUUAACUGAGAAGCACAACUGUGAUGGAGCUUACACCAGCUGGUCAGGGCUUGCCUCCUAACCAGCCGGGGCAAUUCCCAGGGGCUGAAGGGUGUGAAAUCUGCUUGGAGGGAUGAGGUUUUAACACUGAGCCAUGUCCGGGCAAUUCAAGGACAGAUUCUGAGUUCACAGGAUUGCACAUAGACAGAGUGAUUUUACCAUCACCAUUUGGAUUUGCAUUCACCUCGCCUGUCCUGGAAUUAAGCUGCGUGUUUUUAAAAUAACACAUUGUGUUUAUCUAGUUAAUAGAAGUGUCUGACAAUGUCCUUAUCUUGAGGUGUAAUAUUUUCACAGAGGAAAAAUAAUAAUAAUAAUAAUAAAAGGUUUGACUAAUAAAACCCUGUAAUUAACAAGUGACUAACAAGCAAUAA